Long non-coding RNA from Athalia rosae (coleseed sawfly), 3011 nucleotides. RefSeq lists it as uncharacterized. The transcript is spliced from 4 exons. NCBI's taxonomy places the organism in Eukaryota, Metazoa, Arthropoda, Insecta, Hymenoptera, Athaliidae. The record is from RefSeq and is a predicted model, not a curated record.
AAUCGAAAUCUUACCGGGCUAGGUUCAGGUGACAAAGGAAACGUCAAUUGUACAAGACCGAGAUCUGUGGAAACAUUCAACCAUUGGGCCACUCUGACUUCAGAAGGGCUUUCGAUCCAUAUUUUAGGAAUCUAGAGUUGUUGGAUGUUUUAAGGUUUUUUCCACGGUUUCAAGUCAUGUUUCACCGUGAGGAUUCUAAUGUUCACGUCCUGUCCGGGCUUGUAAACUGGCUUAUCUGUCUCCACAAAUGUGACGUGCGAAUCGUGUUCGAUGUAAACAUCCUUCUCAGAAUUGAUGGUGUAAUCCGGAUGCUUAUCAAAUCUGACUUUUAAUCGUAGCCUCGCCACCGAGUAUUUGGUAUGAGGUACCAGAAGCUCCAGGCAUGCCUCCACACCUAGAGAAUAUGCGGUGAAACAAAUAGCAAUGAGUGCUCAAAGCAGCCGACCUGCACUACUCGCGGAGGGGAAUACCAGCCAGACAUAAAAUUAUCGAAUAUCAACCCUAUCAAACGGAGAGUCAACAGAGGAAUUGCAUGCCCCAUUAAAAAUUGACUUGCCAGUUUCGAGAGUGAAGCUGCUGGCGGCCAAGAUUUCUUCCUCGGCGACAUCAUCUGUGGUGAGGAGUUCCAGAAGAGCAUGAGCAGGGGUGGAUAAAUGAUGAAUCGAGAGACAUCCGCUCUCCGUUUCGCCGGCAAUGAGCCUCUUCGGCGCAGUAAACACGUAGCCCCUGUUAAACGAGUUUCUAUUUUAAUGACGUGGGCAGUUAAUGACUGCAACUUUAAAUCCGUUGGAUGCAUGAAAUGGAUGAAAAUGAUACCGUCAAAAUUAAUCGAGACCUAUUUGGUUAUCGCUGCGGUGUGAAAUUUGAAAAAAGAUCCAAGUACAGAAGCGUGAUACUCCGAUGCGCGCAUUUGUUGAACGACUUAAACGUUGGUGUAUUAAAAUUAAGUCUGAAGACUUCUAAUGUUAGCGCAAUGAACUAAAAUGAUGCUGACAAUUUAAGACAAUUACUUUACUAAUAACAAGUAAUGGGCUGGGUAUAAUUGCAUCCGCCUUCGAACAAAUUGUUUUACUUGUACGUCGUAGUUGUACCUCUACGCAUAUGCGGAGUGUUAUACUCUCGAUAAAUUAAUAGCUGUUUACCGAGAUGGUAUUUUAUAAAUUACCGCUUCAGGAAUUUGAAUUACGUUCAUAAAAUAAUCGACGCCGUUUAAUUAAUCGCAUAUGUAUAAUCAAUGCGCGCAGGUUCUGCACCCGUCGUGAAUUAGCAAAAUUUAAAUAUCUUAUCUUACAAUUACCAUCAGUUCGAAUAGCCAUGAAUAUUACUACAGUAUAAUAAAACAGUAAAAUAUUCCAACCUGUGCGGGUUCGCAGCCGUACCCAAAGGUGAUUGCAGAAAAUAUUGCAAUAUCGCUAAAAUAAAUACCAUUCGCGCACCACUCGACAUAUUGUAACGAUGUGCACGCGUUAAAAGCCAAAAACUAAAAUAAUAAUAAACGAAUGCGUUUUAAAAAUUCGCCAAUCGGUCUACCGCAUCUCUACACAGUGAUUGUAUACGAGUGCAGAAUUGCCGCGUUUGAAUCACUUAAAACGCUAUCAUAUUUUCGUCAGUUUUUCUGCCUCUUUUUCCAAUAAACGGUACAGGACACUCUCUCGUAUCUUCUACGAGACAAAAAACGCUACGAUCAGUUUACUCUAUUCUCGAGACAAACACAAAUAUAAAAUAUCGCUCGCGGAUGAUCUCCUUAUGAAAACUGUCGCCGAAGUACUGAACUCGGAGUGAAGCUCUAGUCUUAUCAAUGUGCCACUGCUAUGCCGGUCUUCACUAUAUGUGUGAUGCGUGAAUGAUGCAUGUAUAAUCUUUAAUGUGUAUUGAAUCCCUCCGGUCUCUGAUGUUCCCCAAUGGCUAUAGAUUCGCUUAAAUUUAAUACACCGGCUCCUGUUGCUGCUGCGGUUGCUAAUGUUUCUGACUUCAACCAUACGAACAACAGAUUAUACUCAUAUUAUAUGAUAAUUAUUGUAUUACCCCGGAUGCAAGAAUUUAUCAGCAAACAAAAGAGGCAAAGUUUUUUUUCUUUUCUUUUUGAAUCGAUGAACAAAAGUUUGGUAAAAUUUUUCAUCAAAUCUAGAAAGUAUAAACGUUAUCAUAAUUCUUAGUGAACAAAGUUAUUUCAAUAAUGAUAAUAAGGAUAAUAACACGCAGAUUGACGUGUUGCGAGAAUUCAAAUGUGAUAUAAUUUAUAUCUAGAAUCACCGAGCCAUUAUUUACGACUUAAACUGUGUAUGUAUGAAAUUGCGACUGAAUGUAUAAUAUAAUAAGGAACAUUGAUUGAUAGCGUGACUCACGGGUCACCCUAUCGCUGAGAUAAUUAACGGAGUGAUGGCAUUUAAGUAAUUCCAAAGCAGUUGUGGUCUCAUAAACAAAUGCUCGAUCCUGCAUCUUUCUCUAUACUACAUAAUACACGUAUGGACGCAGCGUCAUUUAGCGAUCUUUGAUCUUAUGCAGCCAGACCUGAACUCAUUGGUUUGAAGACUCUUUUUGGCGUUAUUAGGCGGCCCGUUCUAUUGUGAGCGGCCUUCCGCAAUGAGCUCUUCGCGCUUCAGUGUAUUAUGAUUUUGUUAAUACCUGUAUGAGAAAACGAAUUAAAAUAUGAAUUACCCAUCAAUUAUGUAACUGUGAACGCAUUUUGUCGUAUUGAACGAUUUAACUCAAUAAUUCUGCGAUAUACCCAAUUUAUUUCCGAGUUUUAACUUUCUUCUCUUUUGUUACAAGAGCGAAAUUGACUGGCUCGGGAUGAAUCCGCCCUGCAUCUAGAACACAAGACUUGACCGUGCAUCUACAUGAUGAUUUCCGAAUCAGAAUACAGGCAUCAUUUAUCAUAUAGUCAUAGAUCAUGUACUUUCUGAAAUAACUGAUAUGAUCAUACAAUAGAGAACCUCUAUAAUUUGCACUGUAGAACAUUUAUUGUCAGAGGACAUUUUUCGGUGUCAAUAAAUACUUGAUAUAAGUUA